AAAAACUUCAAUGUGUUUGGCAAGUCAAACUACUCUCCAAGUCCCUAUAUAGAUAACUCUGAAAAGCUUUACUAGAUUUUCUUAAUUGCAGUUUGUUAGAUGUGUGUAGUUGAAAACUGGGGAAGUGAGGAAUUUUGUUGAAAACUGUGAUAUCAAAGCUAUAAUAAUAGAAAGAAGUAUUUAUUUUAUGGCAAGUGUAGAUCUUGAUGGUGGGGAUCUUUGCAUUAGAGGAAGG
Molecule: unclassified non-coding RNA, 235 nt
Filed under: Hevea brasiliensis (rubber tree)
Lineage: Eukaryota; Viridiplantae; Streptophyta; Magnoliopsida; Malpighiales; Euphorbiaceae
Source: RNAcentral